UACGUAGGGUGCAAGCGUUGUCCGGAAUUAUUGGGCGUAAAGAGCUCGUAGGCGGUUUGUCGCGUCUGCUGUGAAAACGCGAGGCUCAACCUCGCGCCUGCAGUGGGUACGGGCAGACUAGAGUGCGGUAGGGGAGACUGGAAUUCCUGGUGUAGCGGUGAAAUGCGCAGAUAUCAGGAGGAACACCGGUGGCGAAGGCGGAUCUGC
Molecule: ribosomal RNA, 207 nt
Filed under: uncultured bacterium
Lineage: Bacteria
Description: partial 16S ribosomal RNA
Rfam family: Bacterial small subunit ribosomal RNA
Source: RNAcentral